AGAGUUUGAUCAUGGCUCAGAUUGAACGCUGGCGGCAGGCCUAACACAUGCAAGUCGAGCGGUAGAGAGAAGCUUGCUUCUCUUGAGAGCGGCGGACGGGUGAGUAAUGCCUAGGAAUCUGCCUGGUAGUGGGGGAUAACGUUCGGAAACGGACGCUAAUACCGCAUACGUCCUACGGGAGAAAGCAGGGGACCUUCGGGCCUUGCGCUAUCAGAUGAGCCUAGGUCGGAUUAGCUAGUUGGUGGGGUAAUGGCUCACCAAGGCGACGAUCCGUAACUGGUCUGAGAGGAUGAUCAGUCACACUGGAACUGAGACACGGUCCAGACUCCUACGGGAGGCAGCAGUGGGGAAUAUUGGACAAUGGGCGAAAGCCUGAUCCAGCCAUGCCGCGUGUGUGAAGAAGGUCUUCGGAUUGUAAAGCACUUUAAGUUGGGAGGAAGGGCAUUAACCUAAUACGUUAGUGUUUUGACGUUACCGACAGAAUAAGCACCGGCUAACUCUGUGCCAGCAGCCGCGGUAAUACAGAGGGUGCAAGCGUUAAUCGGAAUUACUGGGCGUAAAGCGCGCGUAGGUGGUUUGUUAAGUUGGAUGUGAAAUCCCCGGGCUCAACCUGGGAACUGCAUUCAAAACUGACUGACUAGAGUAUGGUAGAGGGUGGUGGAAUUUCCUGUGUAGCGGUGAAAUGCGUAGAUAUAGGAAGGAACACCAGUGGCGAAGGCGACCACCUGGACUGAUACUGACACUGAGGUGCGAAAGCGUGGGGAGCAAACAGGAUUAGAUACCCUGGUAGUCCACGCCGUAAACGAUGUCAACUAGCCGUUGGGAGCCUUGAGCUCUUAGUGGCGCAGCUAACGCAUUAAGUUGACCGCCUGGGGAGUACGGCCGCAAGGUUAAAACUCAAAUGAAUUGACGGGGGCCCGCACAAGCGGUGGAGCAU
RNAcentral lists this ribosomal RNA (937 nucleotides) under Pseudomonas fluorescens. Its description in RNAcentral is "bacterial SSU rRNA". It matches the Rfam family "Bacterial small subunit ribosomal RNA", at positions 8 to 940 of the family's 1533-position model. The record is from RNAcentral. Lineage: Bacteria; Pseudomonadati; Pseudomonadota; Gammaproteobacteria; Pseudomonadales; Pseudomonadaceae.